This is a long non-coding RNA of Homo sapiens (human), 856 nucleotides long. Ensembl annotates it as TPT1 antisense RNA 1. Its record names the gene TPT1-AS1. Lineage: Eukaryota; Metazoa; Chordata; Mammalia; Primates; Hominidae. The record is from Ensembl.
GUUCAAGCGAUUCUCCUGCCUCAGCCCCCUGAGUAGCUGGGAUUACAGGCACGCGCCACCACUCCCAGCAGGAAACUGCUCAACAGUCACAUCUUGAAAGUAACUUGAGGCAACUGCAGGAGGGCUGCAUGGCGGGAAAGAAAUUGCUGAAAACAGGCUGGGUGAGCUGGCUCGUACCUGUGAUCCCAACACUUUGGGAAGUGAAGUUGGGCGGAUCACUUGAGGGUCUUACUCUGUGACCCACGCUGGAGUGCAAUGGCACCAUCACGACUUACUGAAGCCUCCACUUCCCGGGCUCAAGUGAUUCUCACACCUCAGCCUCCUGAGUAGCUGAGACCACAGGCUCCGGUAGAUUGCAAAUGACCUGCUUUCUUUCUGUUCCCGGGCGUUUGGACCCCUGUCUUGGACCGCUGUCGGAUAGUAAAUCCCAAGUAAGGUACCUGCCGUCGGCAGAUUUGAGCUUUCUUCUUGGACACCUAAUACCCAGAGUCCUCCAGGCUCCGGUAGAUUGCAAAUGACCUGCUUUCUUUCUGUUCCCGGGCGGCAUCGGACCCGUCGGAGAGUAAAUCCCAAGUAAGGUACCUGCCGUUGGCAGAUUUGAGCUUUCUUCUUGGACACCUAAUACCCACAGUCCUCCAGGCUCCGGUAGAUUGCAAAUGACCUGCUUUCUUUCUGUUCCCGGGUGGCAUCGACCCGUCGGAGAGUAAAUCCCAAGUAAGGUACCUGCCGUUGGCAGAUUUGAGCUUUCUUCUUGGACACCUAAUACCCACAGUCCUCCAGUAAAUCCCAAGCAAGGUACCUGCCGUCAGCAGAUUUGAGCUUUCUUCUUGGACACCUAAUACCCACAGUCCUCCAA